CCUACGGGAGGCAGCAGUGAGGAAUAUUGGUCAAUGGUCGGAAGGCUGAACCAGCCAUGCCGCGUGAAGGUCAGUGCCCUAUGGGCGUUAAACUUCUUUUGUGCGGGAGCAAUAAUGGUCACGUGUGGCCAGACGAGAGUACCGUACGAAUAAGCAUCGGCUAACUCCGUGCCAGCAGCCGCGGUAAUACGGGGGAGGCAAGCGUUAUCCGGAUUUAUUGGGUUUAAAGGGUGCGUAGGCUGUGAGGUAAGUCAGCGGUGAAAUGCCCCCGCUCAACGGGGUGAAGUGCCAUUGAUACUGCCUGGCUGGAAUGCGGAUGCCGUGGGAGGAAUGUGUGGUGUAGCGGUGAAAUGCAUAGAUAUCACACAGAACACCGAUUGCGAAGGCAUCUCACGAAUCCGCGAUUGACGCUGAUGCACGAAAGCGUGGGUAUCAAACAGGAUUAGAUACCCCUGUAGUC
RNAcentral lists this ribosomal RNA (460 nucleotides) under uncultured bacterium. RNAcentral describes it as "partial 16S ribosomal RNA". It matches the Rfam family "Bacterial small subunit ribosomal RNA", at positions 338 to 795 of the family's 1533-position model. The record is from RNAcentral.